GCUUGCACUGAAUGAGAUUUUAACACGAAGUGAGUGGCGGACGGGUGAGUAACACGUGGGUAACCUGCCCAGAAGCAGGGGAUAACACCUGGAAACAGAUGCUAAUACCGUAUAACAGAGAAAACCGCCUGGUUUUCUUUUAAAAGAUGGCUCUGCUAUCACUUCUGGAUGGACCCGCGGCGCAUUAGCUAGUUGGUGAGGUAACGGCUCACCAAGGCGAUGAUGCGUAGCCGACCUGAGAGGGUAAUCGGCCACAUUGGGACUGAGACACGGCCCAGACUCCUACGGGAGGCAGCAGUAGGGAAUCUUCCACAAUGGACGCAAGUCUGAUGGAGCAACGCCGCGUGAGUGAAGAAGGGUUUCGGCUCGUAAAGCUCUGUUGUUAAAGAAGAACGUGGGUGAGAGUAACUGUUCACCCAGUGACGGUAUUUAACCAGAAAGCCACGGCUAACUACGUGCCAGCAGCCGCGGUAAUACGUAGGUGGCAAGCGUUAUCCGGAUUUAUUGGGCGUAAAGCGAGCGCAGGCGGUCUUUUAAGUCUAAUGUGAAAGCCUUCGGCUCAACCGAAGAAGUGCAUUGGAAACUGGGAGACUUGAGUGCAGAAGAGGACAGUGGAACUCCAUGUGUAGCGGUGAAAUGCGUAGAUAUAUGGAAGAACACCAGUGGCGAAGGCGGCUGUCUGGUCUGUAACUGACGCUGAGGCUCGAAAGCAUGGGUAGCGAACAGGAUUAGAUACCCUGGUAGUCCAUGCCGUAAACGAUGAUUACUAAGUGUUGGAGGGUUUCCGCCCUUCAGUGCUGCAGCUAACGCAUUAAGUAAUCCGCCUGGGGAGUACGACCGCAAGGUUGAAACUCAAAAGAAUUGACGGGGGCCCGCACAAGCGGUGGAGCAUGUGGUUUAAUUCGAAGCUACGCGAAGAACCUUACCAGGUCUUGACAUCUUCUGCCAACCUAAGAGAUUAGGCGUUCCCUUCGGGGACAGAAUGACAGGUGGUGCAUGGUUGUCGUCAGCUCGUGUCGUGAGAUGUUGGGUUAAGUCCCGCAACGAGCGCAACCCUUAUUACUAGUUGCCAGCAUUCAGUUGGGCACUCUAGUGAGACUGCCGGUGACAAACCGGAGGAAGGUGGGGACGACGUCAAAUCAUCAUGCCCCUUAUGACCUGGGCUACACACGUGCUACAAUGGAUGGUACAACGAGUUGCGAAACCGCGAGGUUUAGCUAAUCUCUUAAAACCAUUCUCAGUUCGGACUGUAGGCUGCAACUCGCCUACACGAAGUCGGAAUCGCUAGUAAUCGCGGAUCAGCAUGCCGCGGUGAAUACGUUCCCGGGCCUUGUACACACCGCCCGUCACACCA
RNAcentral lists this ribosomal RNA (1354 nucleotides) under Pediococcus acidilactici. RNAcentral describes it as "bacterial SSU rRNA". It matches the Rfam family "Bacterial small subunit ribosomal RNA", at positions 61 to 1404 of the family's 1533-position model. The record is from RNAcentral. Lineage: Bacteria; Bacillati; Bacillota; Bacilli; Lactobacillales; Lactobacillaceae.